This 780-nucleotide ribosomal RNA is filed under the name Staphylococcus epidermidis. Its description in RNAcentral is "bacterial SSU rRNA". It matches the Rfam family "Bacterial small subunit ribosomal RNA", at positions 28 to 790 of the family's 1533-position model. Lineage: Bacteria; Bacillati; Bacillota; Bacilli; Caryophanales; Staphylococcaceae. The record is from RNAcentral.
GAUGAACGCUGGCGGCGUGCCUAAUACAUGCAAGUCGAGCGAACAGACGAGGAGCUUGCUCCUCUGACGUUAGCGGCGGACGGGUGAGUAACACGUGGAUAACCUACCUAUAAGACUGGGAUAACUUCGGGAAACCGGAGCUAAUACCGGAUAAUAUAUUGAACCGCAUGGUUCAAUAGUGAAAGACGGUUUUGCUGUCACUUAUAGAUGGAUCCGCGCCGCAUUAGCUAGUUGGUAAGGUAACGGCUUACCAAGGCAACGAUGCGUAGCCGACCUGAGAGGGUGAUCGGCCACACUGGAACUGAGACACGGUCCAGACUCCUACGGGAGGCAGCAGUAGGGAAUCUUCCGCAAUGGGCGAAAGCCUGACGGAGCAACGCCGCGUGAGUGAUGAAGGUCUUCGGAUCGUAAAACUCUGUUAUUAGGGAAGAACAAAUGUGUAAGUAACUAUGCACGUCUUGACGGUACCUAAUCAGAAAGCCACGGCUAACUACGUGCCAGCAGCCGCGGUAAUACGUAGGUGGCAAGCGUUAUCCGGAAUUAUUGGGCGUAAAGCGCGCGUAGGCGGUUUUUUAAGUCUGAUGUGAAAGCCCACGGCUCAACCGUGGAGGGUCAUUGGAAACUGGAAAACUUGAGUGCAGAAGAGGAAAGUGGAAUUCCAUGUGUAGCGGUGAAAUGCGCAGAGAUAUGGAGGAACACCAGUGGCGAAGGCGACUUUCUGGUCUGUAACUGACGCUGAUGUGCGAAAGCGUGGGGAUCAAACAGGAUUAGAUACCCUGG